This 585-nucleotide long non-coding RNA is filed under the name Homo sapiens (human). RNAcentral describes it as "non-protein coding lnc-USP53-8:16". Lineage: Eukaryota; Metazoa; Chordata; Mammalia; Primates; Hominidae. The record is from RNAcentral.
UGCACAUUUAAGUUAUGUAUUACAUGUCUUUAGUGGUGAUCACUAUUUUAUCAGUUCCUCUGUCUUUCUUUAUACCAAGUAUGACUCAUAAACCCAGUAUUAAUUUGCCAAGAGAUUGGCAUACUAUUUGUAUAUAUGCUUUUCUUUCAAAUAAUCUGGAUUUCCAAUGCCCACAAUCAUUGAUCCUAAAGAAAAUGUGGGAGUAGGUAAACUCAAACAUCCCUACCAUCACCCCUGGUAGGAAAUCACUGGUGUAAUGUAUGAUAUUAACAUCUGCACCAAUUACUGUUAUAGGUGGAACCAAAGUUUUAAUCAAAGAAGGUGGUGUUCAGUUGCUGCUUACAAUAGUUGAUACCCCAGGAUUUGGAGAUGCAGUGGAUAACAGUAAUUGCUGGCAGCCUGUUAUCAAUUACAUUGAUAUUAAAUUUGAGGACUACCUAAAUGCAGAAUCGCGAGUGAACAGAUGUCAGAUGCCUGGUAACAGGGUGCAGUGUUGUUUAUACUUCAUUGCUCCUUCAGGACAUGGGUCAGUAACCUGAUAGUUCUGAUUCCUUUUUGUUGUUGUUGCUUACUGUUACCUUUAUG